RNAcentral lists this ribosomal RNA (497 nucleotides) under uncultured bacterium. RNAcentral's name for it is "partial 16S ribosomal RNA". It matches the Rfam family "Bacterial small subunit ribosomal RNA", at positions 28 to 507 of the family's 1533-position model. The record is from RNAcentral.
GAUGAACGCUGGCGGCGUGCCUAAUACAUGCAAGUCGAGCGAACGGACGAGAAGCUUGCUUUUCUGAUGUUAGCGGCGGACGGGUGAGUAACACGUGGAUAACCUACCUAUAAGACUGGGGUAACUUCGGGAAACCGGAGCUAAUACCGGAUAAUAUUUUGAACCGCAUGGUUCAAAAGUGAAAGACGGUCUUGCUGUCACUUAUAGAUGGAUCCGCGCUGCAUUAGCUAGUUGGUAAGGUAACGGCUUACCAAGGCAACGAUGCAUAGCCGACCUGAGAGAGUGGUCGGCCACACUGGAGCUGGGACACGGUCCAGACUCCUACGGGAGGCAGCAGUAGGGUAUCUUCCGCAGUGGGCGAAAGCCUGACGGAGCAACGCCGCGUGAGUGAUGAAGGUCUUCGGAGCGUAAAACUCUGUUAUUAGGGAAGAACAUAUGUGGAAGUAACUGUGCACAUCUUGACGGUACCUGAUCAGAAAGCAACGGCUAACUACGUG